This 337-nucleotide unclassified non-coding RNA is filed under the name soil metagenome. Its description in RNAcentral is "partial contains 5.8S ribosomal RNA, internal transcribed spacer 2, and large subunit ribosomal RNA". The stretch from base 1 to 120 matches the Rfam family "5.8S ribosomal RNA", at positions 35 to 154 of the family's 154-position model. The record is from RNAcentral.
GAUGAAGAACGUAGCGAAAUGCGAUAAGUAGUGUGAAUUGCAGAAUUCAGUGAAUCAUCGAAUCUUUGAACGCACAUUGCGCCCUUUGGUAUUCCUUAGGGCAUGCCUGUUCGAGCGUCAUUUGAAACCUCAAGCUCAGCUUGGUGUUGGGUGUCUGUCCCCGCCUCACCGCGGGGACUCGCCUCAAAAUCAUUGGCGGCCGGUACGUUGGCUUCGAGCGCAGCAGAAACGCGAACUCGAGGCCCGGCGGAUCGGCGACCAGAAGUCACUUCUUCACAGUUUGACCUCGGAUCAGGUAGGGAUACCCGCUGAACUUAAGCAUAUCAAUAAGCGGAGG